GAUGAAGAACGCAGCGAAAUGCGAUAAGUAUUGUGAAUUGCAGAAUUCAGUGAAUCAUCGAAUCUUUGAACGCACAUUGCGCCCCUUGGUAUCCCGAGGGGCAUGCCUGUUCGAGCGUCAUUUCACCACUCAAGCCUGGCUUGGUGUUGGGCGACGUCCCCUUUGGGGACGCGCCUCGAAACGCUCGGCGGCGUGGCACCGGCUUUAAGCGUAGCAGAAUCUUUCGCUUUGGAAGUCGGGGCCCCGUCUGCCGGAAGACCUACUCGCAAGGUUGACCUCGGAUCAGGCAGGGAUACCCGCUGAACUUAAGCAUAUCAAUAAGCGGAGGA
This 329-nucleotide unclassified non-coding RNA is filed under the name soil metagenome. Its description in RNAcentral is "partial contains 5.8S ribosomal RNA, internal transcribed spacer 2, and large subunit ribosomal RNA". The stretch from base 1 to 120 matches the Rfam family "5.8S ribosomal RNA", at positions 35 to 154 of the family's 154-position model. The record is from RNAcentral.